GGGAGGCAGCUGCGUAGUGUUCUGCUUUCCCGGGCUCGGAGCCACUGUAAUGUCGCUGAACUUGACAUCCAGCAUCACAAGGGGACGCGGUCACCUCGCAGCGUGACGACUUUUAAGUACAGCUGUAGCGGUACCAGUGUGAGCGUUUGCGACUGCACCAACAGGACAAAUGACGCAAAGAGGACAGAGCGAGUGAGAGAGAGCAUGCCAAAUUGCACAAAUUGGAAAAGGACAAGGCCGCACGUUGAUAAGACUGCGACAGUGGCCAAGAAGACUGAGGUAGACAUACAGGACAAGAGUCUGCUGGAAAUAGGAUGAGAUGCUUGUCUGCAGACAGACAGACUAAGAGGUGUGCCAAAAAUUCAGGCUGCUGGCCACGACUGUCAGCCUCCCGCUAGGAGGAUGGACUGCAGUUCAACAACGUCAUAUUCUCAAACAUCCUUAACCUUCAUCCAACCUCUUUGGCUCAGACUCUAAACUCAAGUCAUUGGCUCAACCCCAAGAAAAAGACUUAUUGGCACUCAUCCCCCACACCACGCUCUUUAACAAUGACUUUGUAACUGCUUGACAGAGCGGUAGCGCCAGCCCACAAAGGCAAUUGAAGCAUCAUAGCACUGUAGUUCAGCUUGCAGCACGAGAAGAAUUGUGAGUGUGAUUUGUCUCCAGGCGCAUGGGCAGCUGUUGACAAAAGAUGACAGCGAGUCUGGUUGGAGGUGCACCAUCCUCUCGUCCGCCCUCCCUUGCUGCAGCGGCAUUGGGUCUGACUGGUUAAGUUUGGCCUUUUGGCCAUUGCAGCAUUGGCGGCAGCUGUCAGAGGGCUGGAAGGAGCACUAUGCAGGAAACUGACUCACCAGACACAAACGCAUUCAAAGAGUGCAAGUUCCACUGCACCAAUGGGAAUUGUUUGCGUCUGGGCUCACUGAUCUGUAACCACCUCAAUAACUGUGGCGACAACAGCGAUGAGGAGAACUGCCCCAUGGUCACCCAGCAUCCUCCAGCGGGCAUCUUCAACUGUGAGUGCUGCAGGACGCUGCCUUCACUUCAUUUCCUCUCUUUCACAUGAACUCCUCACACAUCUACCACUCCCUGGAGAAUGUUUAGUGUCGUUUUAAUGAGUUUUAUAUUGUGAAUCUUUUUGCCUUCUUCUGAAAUGGUGGGGCUUCUCCAUUAAUUGUUUGAGAGCAAUGGUUAAACAACAGUGUUUGGGCAUUACAGAAAGAUAUUUUAAAAAUGCAUAUACUGCAUAUAGUUUUAGUUAUGUUUUACAGAAAUAUUUGCAAAUGUUGAUUUACGAAUUGGUGAGGGUUGACUGUACACCCCUUUAGGGUUGGGCGAACAUGGAAAAAAUAAUGACCAUGAUGCAUAUUUUGAUUCAUGUUGAAAUCACAAUGAAUAAACCAUUAUUCAUUGACUUCGAAACUUGAUACAGUGGAACCUCGAUAAAACGGACCACUGGGACUGAAAAAUGUGUCUAAAACUUUUUUUCCAUUUGUCACUUCAACUGCCAUUGACAUAGUCUGUUAGUUCCAGAAUUGGCUGCCGUUAUUUACUGGCGCCACAUAGGCAGAGAAUGGGACUGAGGUGUUUCCAGGUCACAGAUAUACAAUAUGACUAGAUCCAAUUCCAAAUGACGUGCCAUGUUGAAUGUCAGGCAUUGACGUGGCAGCCAUGCGACGAUGGUUAUAUCAAUUGUCUAUUGUACAUAGGGCAGCGAGAGAGCGGAAUGGCAGCAGUGUUAACUCUGAGGAAUACAAACACAAAUCUCUGGAGUCUGCAACAUCCUAUUUUUGGUACAGUAACAGCUUUAUUUGUCAAGCUGUUCGCCUUUGCCAAUGGAUUUGGAACUAAGAAGCACACUAAUUCCUCACGGCUCAUGAAAGCGACUCGUCUAUGAUGAGUCCUGUAUGUCAACAAUGUCACCAUGAUCUAGCACACCGGCAUGGUAAGUUUGGAUAAAAUGUGAAACCUUAAAUAUUUUUAACCUUUUGUUUUUUAUUUAUUUACAAUAACUUUGUACAGUACUGGGCGUUUUAGGCUACGAAAAAAAUCUAUAAACCACUAAUUUUUGUACUGUACAGUAAUACAGAUGCAUGUGGCCAAAAAGUGCUUAAAUGUAGCGCACAAUCAGAAAUAUCUGACGACCUCCCGCCCCUGUUAGGCCAUUCUAUCGAGGUUCCACUGUAUUUCUUUAACUUGGAAUCAAUACGCAACUUUAAGUAUAACUUAAAAGAACAACCAGAUAAUACAUUAGUAACAAGUAAAAAUAAUAAUACAUUAAAAAUAGAAAUAAAAAAACAAUAAAUACAAAUAAGGCAGCAUGGUGAAAGACUGGUUAGCACACCUGCCUCACAGUUCUGAGGACCGGGGUUCAAAUCCCGGCCCUGCAUCUGUGGAGUUUGCAUGUUUUCAGCGUGCCUGCGUGGGUUUUCCCCGGGCACUACGGUUUCCUCCCACAUCCCCAAAACAUGCAUGGUAGGUUAAUUGAAGACUCUAUAUUGUCCCUAGGUGUGAAUGUGAGUGGCAAUGGUUGUUUGCUUCUAUGUGCCCUGUGAUUGGCUGGCAACCGGUUCAGGGUGUACCCCGCCUCCUGCCCGAAAUGAGCUGGGAUAGGCUCCAGCACUCCCACAACCCGCUUGAGGAUAAGCGGUUCAGAAAAUGGAUGGAUGGAAAUAAAAAUAAAUACAGCAUGGUGAAAAACACUGGAAUGCCGGGGGUAACAGUAUUGUCUAUUAUGUAUAUUUGUUAAGAAAAAAAUCCUCUCAAUAUUCUGGCGUUUAGCAAAUAGAAAUAAUGUUUAUAAUCCUAAUUGACCUAAAACAAGAAAAUGUUAGUUUGAUUUCAUGUCAGACAUUCAGGGGGGGAAAAAAGCGUUUGUGUCUUUUUGUACAAAGCCAUGACUGUGUGGUGUGGUGCAUGCAUGAAGUUGCAUAUUUACAGUAAGCUGAAAAAAGAGGUGAAGAAGAAAGCCGCAAGAAAGGGCACGUUCGUCAAUUCAAUCUAACGCUCACACUGCGCUCUGAGAGUGCAGUGUUCAGAGAGGCAGAGCACACUCCAUUUUCUAUGAAUUUGCGAACAUGUUGGCCAUUGGAAGGGAUACAUCAGUGUGUCGCCAUAUUGAAUGUGUCAGUUCUACCUGUAAACAUCUCCUUGCCGGACGCUCCGGCCGCUCUGACUGAGGAGACAGAGUACGCGCCAUCACUCCCGGACUGUGGCGCUCUGAAUAACCAAAUGGCACACUCCACCAACGAGUCAAGAGAGUGCGCUUGGAGUGAAUUUUCCAACAUACCCAAAAUUUUAUUAAACUCGUUUUUCACAGAUUAGAAAGAAUAUAUGCCUGUGAGUAUUGUUAUAUUCUGCCUGUAUGUGUUAUACGGCGUUUGUGUGUGAAUAUUCGUUAUCUGAAGGUAAAUCCUUCCCGCGAUAUAAUAUUAAUGUUUGCUCGCCUGCCAGUAGGGUUUUCGACAGACUGUUAGCAUAAGCUGACAAUUUCUAAAAUGAUGUGUGUCUUGCAUUUAAAUAUACA
This is a long non-coding RNA of Phycodurus eques (leafy seadragon), 3523 nucleotides long. RefSeq lists it as uncharacterized. The record is from RefSeq and is a predicted model, not a curated record. Lineage: Eukaryota; Metazoa; Chordata; Actinopteri; Syngnathiformes; Syngnathidae. The transcript is spliced from 3 exons.